This 45-nucleotide ribosomal RNA is filed under the name Heteromysis sp. JM-2004. RNAcentral's name for it is "partial 5.8S ribosomal RNA". The record is from RNAcentral. Lineage: Eukaryota; Metazoa; Arthropoda; Malacostraca; Mysida; Mysidae.
GGCUGACAUUUAUAGCUGUGGGCACUUCAGUUCGAGGGUCGGAAA